RNAcentral lists this ribosomal RNA (301 nucleotides) under uncultured bacterium. RNAcentral describes it as "partial 16S ribosomal RNA". It matches the Rfam family "Bacterial small subunit ribosomal RNA", at positions 509 to 808 of the family's 1533-position model. The record is from RNAcentral.
CAGUCGCCACGGGAUACGGAGGGUGCAAGCGUUAAUCGGAAUUACUGGGCGUAAAGCGCACGCAGGCGGUUUGUUAAGUCAGAUGUGAAGUCCCCGAGCUUAACUUGGGAACUGCAUUUGGAACUGGCAAGCUAGAGUCUUGUAGAGUGGGGUAGAAUUCCAGGUGUAGCGGUGAAAUGCGUAGAGAUCUGGAGGAAUACCGGUGGCGAAGGCGGCCCCCUGGACAAAGACUGACGCUCAGGUGCGAAAGCGUGGGGAGCAAACAGGAUUAGAUACCCCAGUAGUCCCUGUCUCUUAUACA